RNAcentral lists this ribosomal RNA (470 nucleotides) under uncultured bacterium. RNAcentral describes it as "bacterial SSU rRNA". It matches the Rfam family "Bacterial small subunit ribosomal RNA", at positions 29 to 506 of the family's 1533-position model. The record is from RNAcentral.
AUGAACGCUGGCGACGUGGAUAAGGCAUGCAAGUCGAGUGGUCCGAUGUAACAUCGGACCACGGCGAACGAGGUAGUAAUACGCAGGAACGUCCCCUAGAGUCGGGCAUAAUCAGCCGAAAGGUUGGCUAAUUCCCGAUAGACCCUUACCGUAAAAAGUGUAGGGUAAAGGCGCAAGCCGCUCUGGGAUCGGCCUGUGGGCUAUCAGCUAGUUGGUAGGGUAAUGGCCUACCAAGGCGAUGACGGCUAGGGGGGGUGAGAGCCUGUUCCCCACCGAUGGUACUGCGACACGGACCAUACACCUACGGGUGGCAGCAGCCGAGAAUCUUCCGCAAUGGGCGAAAGCCUGACGGAGCGACGUCGCGUGGUGGAUGAAGCCCUUCGGGACGUAAACACCUUUUAUUAGGGAGAAAAUACCGACGUAAGUCGGGAUGUGAUAGUACCUGAUGAAUAAGGGGUUGCUAAACUCGU